CCUAGUUAAAGUUGAAAACAAAGAACCAUUCCACAACUACAAACAAAAGAAAUAAGAAGGGGAAGAAUUUCUGGUAAUUGGGCUAAAAGUGACAAAUGCAAUUAUGGCAGGGGAUUAAUAAGCUUCUAACGGUUAAAGGCAUCGUUUAACAUCAACUAAACAUGGUGCCAUCCUGUUUUAUUUGCAACUUUUGGCAGACUUUUUCUGAUUGUCAUAGUGGCAGCCCACUAAAUGUCUUUAGAUAAUUCACAUGCAUGAAAGUUACAAACAUAAGGUUUAAUUUAAUUGUAUUUCAUUUAGAAUCAUCUGUUUUUAGUACAUAUGAACUUUGUAGAUCUCAUGGUUGAGAAAUU
Molecule: unclassified non-coding RNA, 353 nt
Filed under: Hevea brasiliensis (rubber tree)
Lineage: Eukaryota; Viridiplantae; Streptophyta; Magnoliopsida; Malpighiales; Euphorbiaceae
Source: RNAcentral